This is an RNA transcript of Hipposideros armiger (great roundleaf bat), 1951 nucleotides long. It is a transcript of the gene named centrosomal AT-AC splicing factor, with no coding region annotated. The transcript is spliced from 8 exons. The record is from RefSeq and is a predicted model, not a curated record. Lineage: Eukaryota; Metazoa; Chordata; Mammalia; Chiroptera; Hipposideridae.
CUGAGCAUCUGCACAGGGAGAGGGCUGACCACUUUUCCCGGCACCUUUGGAGGUUUUGCUGAACUGAUGAUAUAGUUGGGUGUGGAGGAGCCGCGGAAAGGACCCGCGCAGCCGCAGAAGGGUUUGCAGUGGCGCCUGCCCAUCGCUGGGGGCAGCAGAGGAGACGCCGGGCUCGCCCCGCCCCUAAGGGGUCAGGGGUCACGGGAUAGUGUAGGAUCUGCUGCCUGUCGCGGUUACUCAGCUCUGGGCCGAUGGCGCCAGCGCAGCGCUGCCAUCUGUGCCGUCAGACCUUCUUCUGUGGCCGCGGACAUGUCUACAGUCGCAAGCACCAACGGCAGCUGAAGGUGGCUUUGGAUCGGCUCCUGCCACAGGUGGAGGCUGCCCGUAAGGCUGUCCGCACAGCUCAGGUGGAGCGUUACGUGCCCGAGCACGAGCGGUGCUGCUGGUGCCUGUGCUGCGGCUGUGAGGUGCGGAAACACCUGAGCCAUGGAAACCUGACCGUGCUGCACGGGGGGCUGCUGGAGCAUUUAGCCAGCCUAGAGCACAAGAAAGCAACCAACAGAUUCUGGUGGGAGAACAAGGCUGAGGUCCAGAUGAAAGAGAAGUUUCUCAUCUCUCCUCAAGAUUAUGCACGAUUCAAGAAAUCCAUGGUGAAAGGUUUGGAUUCUUAUGAGGAAAAAGAGGAUGAAGUGAUCAAAGAGAUGGCAGCUCAGAUCCGUGAGGUGGAGCAGAGUCGGCAGGAGGUGGUUCGGUCUGUCUUAGAGCCUCAGGCAGUGCCAGACCCAGAAGAGGGCUCUUCGGCACCUGGAAGUUGGAAAGGAACAAACAGCCAAAUAGUCUCCACCUCACAGCAGCCCUCAUACUUGGACCUGCCAUCUGCCCCAGAGCUUGACUGGAUGGACACAGGACCGCUGACAUUCAUUGGCCAUCAGGUACAAUGGCUAAGCCAGGAAAGAGCCAGUGCCCCCUCAGUUCCCAGGACACCCAUUUCUUACAGGUUUUCUACCUAUUCUGACCAUUCCUGUUGUCUCUGCAGGCUUUUCUCUUGCUGCACUGUUCCAUACUGUGCUCACAGGCCUCUUUUCUCACUCUCCAACACCUGUUACCCCCACUGCCACUUAGAAGAGUGCCAACUCCUAUAUUUCAUCCUCUGCAGAACCCCCAAUUCCAGCUCAAUACAUUUAUUAGAUAUCCUACAGGUACCUGAAACUAACCCCCUCCCUGUAUUUCCAGCAACUGUAGAUGCCGAUACUUAUACCCUCCAUCACCUACAUCCAAUCAAGUCUAGGUCUAUUUUACCUCCUGAAUACAAGUUGGCCUCUAGUCUACCUUAGAACAAUUCCUACUCCCCCCUGCAGUCCUGUCCCAAACACAAGAAUUCCAUCAUUACCUGCUCUCUCAUCUUCUACACUCCAGCCGUACUAUGCUUCUCACUUUUACACAUGUAGUUGCCAUUGCCAUAAUACUGCUUUCCUUCAUUCAUCACCUAGUUAACGCUCACCUUCCUUCAGCUCUUACCUCAAAUGUCAUUUUCAUGGAAGGCUUAUUUGAGGUCACCUGUGUUAUAAACGGAUGUAAUGCCAGGUAAAAAGCUGUGGAUGUAAUUUAUACUUUUCUCCUCCAAUGAUAUGUAUGCUGUGAGGAAAGGGUUUUGUUUACCUGGCACAUGUAGACAUAUCUCCACCAUGAAGACCAUCUUUUGAGGACAGAAUUUUCAAUGAUUUACUGUGCUCUUAAGAUUUGACAUCUACCUCCUCUAAGUUUGUCCUUUCUCUAGCUAGGAGUAUCCUAUCAUCUCUUGGCUUUCUUAUCUAGGAUUUUCCUUUCCCCCCCCCAUUUCUAACUACAGGAUACACCAGGAGCUGGUAACAUCCACUCAGGCGCCACACCUCCCUGGAUGGUUCAAGAUGAGGAAUACAGCUCUGGGAAUCAACAAAUAGGACCUUCCUAU